Molecule: long non-coding RNA, 1317 nt
Organism: Papaver somniferum (opium poppy)
Lineage: Eukaryota; Viridiplantae; Streptophyta; Magnoliopsida; Ranunculales; Papaveraceae
Exons: 3
Source: RefSeq, a predicted model, not a curated record
AAGAGAGAAGAUAAGAAAAUAAAAGUGUACCAUUCAAGCUUUCACUAACCUGUUGAAAUAUAUUGAAUUUUUAUCUGAUUUCUUCUUAAUUUUCUCCGGAGCUAUGAGUGAGAAGGUGAUGAGAGCUGUAUGCUAUGAAAAUUACGGCGGUCGAUCAGAGGGCAUUAUUAUUUUUGCACGUACAAGUUCCUAUCCCUAAACCUAACAAGGACGCGGUUUUAGUGAAAGUGGAAGCAUCAUCCCCCCCCACCACACACACACCCACACCCACAUUGAUUACAAACUUCAGUUCAGGGUGGCAUAGCAAGGCCUUUCAUGCCCAAAAAGUUCCCUUAUAUACCAGUAACGGAUAUAUCAGGGGAAGUGGGGUCAGAUGUACUGUUCCAAGUUGGUGAUAAAGUAGUUGCCAUGCUCGCCUAUACUGCGAGGGUUCUUACCCAGCAAUUGCGUUUUUUAAAUUUUUUGAGGAGUUCGUGUUUUCUGCAGGUCUUCUCAAACUCACAAAUAUAUUUUUUAAUCCUAAAAUCUAACUUGAUGGCAGUAUGGAGGCGGCCUGGGGGAAUAUGCAGUUGCUCCAGCAAAGCCAACAGUAAAAAGGCCUGAAGAAGUGUCAGCUGUUGAAGGCGCUGGUCUACCCCUAGCAGGACUUACUGCAUUACAUGUCUCAACCAUUCUCGGACAAGGCAGCUAAUGUUUUAGUCAUAGCAGCCUCAGGUUGAGCAGGUCACUACGUAGUUCAAUUAGCAAACCUUGGAAAUAAUCAUGUGACUGCUGCUUGUGGAGCUCGAAACAUCCAGCUUCUGAAGAGUUUGGGUGCAGACGAAGUUCUAGACUUAUAAAAGAUGGUAAAAUGUUGAGGAGUCCAUCAGGGUGCAAGUAUGAUGUUGUAGUAAUAAACCGUGCCACAAGUAAAAUCCCAUGGUUAACAUAUAAGCAAAACCUCUCUGAACAAGGAAGAGUUGUGCAUCUUAACCUGACGGUAAGACAAUGAUCAAGGCUGCUUCUUUGAAGCUCAGCUGCUCCAGGAAGAAGGUUACGUCGUUGAUGAUAUUCCACAAGAACAAAGAAGACCUAGAAUUCCUUGUUGAAUUGGUUAAAUAAGGCAAGUUGAAGACUCCAAGUAUACUUGCAGAGGCAGAACAAGCUUGGGCUAAGAUGAUGGGAGGUCAUGCUACUGGGAAGAUCGUUGUAGAACCAUAAAAUGCAAGAGAUUCGGAUGAAUUCAAGCUGACAAACAUGGAAAAACUUGGUAAUUGUUGUUAGUUUGAGCCUUUGAGGUUUGAGUAUUGUGAUUAUUAUCAAAAACAAAAAAAACAA